This 238-nucleotide ribosomal RNA is filed under the name uncultured bacterium. RNAcentral describes it as "partial 16S ribosomal RNA". It matches the Rfam family "Bacterial small subunit ribosomal RNA", at positions 100 to 334 of the family's 1533-position model. The record is from RNAcentral.
CGGAACGGGUGAGUAACGCGUGAGGAACCUGCCUCAAAGAGGGGGACAACAGUUGGAAACGACUGUUAAUACCGCAUAAGCCCACGGCUCGGCAUCGAGCAGAGGGAAAAGGAGUGAUCCACUUUGGGAUGGCCUCGCGUCCGAUUAGCUAGUUGGUGAGGUAACGGCCCACCAAGGCGACGAUCGGUAGCCGGACUGAGAGGUUGAACGGCCACAUUGGGACUGAGACACGGCCCAG